This 501-nucleotide ribosomal RNA is filed under the name uncultured bacterium. RNAcentral's name for it is "partial 16S ribosomal RNA". It matches the Rfam family "Bacterial small subunit ribosomal RNA", at positions 29 to 523 of the family's 1533-position model. The record is from RNAcentral.
AUUGAACGCUGGCGGCAUGCCUUACACAUGCAAGUCGAACGGCAGCACGGGUGCUUGCACCUGGUGGCGAGUGGCGAACGGGUGAGUAAUACAUCGGAACGUACCUUAUCGUGGGGGAUAACGCAGCGAAAGCUGUGCUAAUACCGCAUACGCCCUGAGGGGGAAAGCGGGGGAUCGCAAGACCUCGCGCGAUUAGAGCGGCCGAUGCCUGAUUAGCUUGUUGGUGGGGUAAAAGCCCACCAAGGCGACGAUCAGUAGCUGGUCUGAGAGGAGGAUCAGCCACACUGGGGCGGAGACACGGCCCAGACUCCUACGGGAGGCAGCAGUGGGGAAUUUUGGACAAUGGGUGCAACCCUGAUCCAGCAAUGCCGCGUGAGUGAAGAAGGCCUUCGGGUUGUAAAGCUCUUUUGUCAGGGAAGAAACACCGGCUCUAACACAGUCCGGGAAUGACGGUACCUGAAGAAUAAGCACCGGCUAACUACGUGCCAGCCGCCGCCGUAA